UUAAGUUCAGCGGGUAGUCCUACUCGAUUUGAGGUCAAGUUGUCAGAUAUUGUCCGAAGACGGUUUGAAGCACAGAGCUCCUGAUCAGCCACCCUCUAAUGAGGUGCCGGCGAAGACACUUAUCACGCCGUACUAUGUCCAACCAAGAGUUGCACUACUCCAUUUGAGGCAAGCCACAGUAAAGCAGCAACACCCAAGUC
RNAcentral lists this unclassified non-coding RNA (200 nucleotides) under Sebacina sp. RNAcentral's name for it is "partial internal transcribed spacer 2". The record is from RNAcentral. Lineage: Eukaryota; Fungi; Basidiomycota; Agaricomycetes; Sebacinales; Sebacinaceae.